GCUCCCAUAGCUCAGUGGCAGAGCAGAUGCCUUUUAAGCAUUUGAUCAAGGUUCGAUUCCUUGUGGGAGCACCA
RNAcentral lists this transfer RNA (74 nucleotides) under Candidatus Wolfebacteria bacterium. Its description in RNAcentral is "tRNA-Lys". It matches the Rfam family "tRNA". From Rfam's summary of the family: Transfer RNA (tRNA) molecules are approximately 80 nucleotides in length. Lineage: Bacteria; Candidatus Wolfeibacteriota. The record is from RNAcentral.